ACGGUCAUACCAUGCAGAAUAUAUUGUUUCUCGUUCGAUCACCGAAGUCAAUCAACAUCAGGCGCAGUCAGUACUUGGGAGGGCGACCACUCGAGAACACUACGUGUCGUUG
This is a non-coding RNA of Caerostris darwini, 112 nucleotides long. NCBI's taxonomy places the organism in Eukaryota, Metazoa, Arthropoda, Arachnida, Araneae, Araneidae. The record is from the annotation of a GenBank genome assembly.